Xyrichtys novacula (pearly razorfish) is the source of this 2873-nucleotide non-coding RNA. Lineage: Eukaryota; Metazoa; Chordata; Actinopteri; Labriformes; Labridae. The record is from the annotation of a GenBank genome assembly.
UUCACUUUUGUAAAAAUAGUGCUCUUUAAUAUAAAUUAUUGAAAUAUUUUAGAAAUAUAAAUAUGUGCAACGUUCCUUUUUUUUGUAAUGCUUUGUCAUUUCAGAUAUUACAGCUUGUAUUUUGCCAGACUAGUGGCCAGCCUUUUUUUCAGAGUCUUUAUAAAAGACAAAUGAUUCACAAACACGUGUGAGGCGCCACUGCUGCUGCAACACAUGUCAGAACUUGUUUUUAAUGAGAAAAUAAGACUGAGAUUUGACCGAAAAACUGUGUUUCACCAGUCGGGUUUCCAUGAACUUGAAUUGCAUUAAAAAAAAGGGCAGUGUGGGAAAUCAAAAUUAGACGCUUAGUGCAAAAGAUGCACUAAUUUUGAAAUGGCAGGCACAAAGAUUUGGUCGCCUGUCAGUUUACAUGAUCAGCUGACUGCUGCUACAUGCUUUUGUUUCAAGAUGCUGGUACAAGCUGCAAGAAAAAUAAUCAAAUUUGCCCAAAAGAAACACAUUUUUGGAGAUUUUUCGCACUUUUUGCAAAAGACACAGACAACUAAAGCAUCUUGUGUUGUUUCUGGUUUGGCAAAUUACAGCCACAUGUCGCACAAAAUCAAAAAGUUCUGAUUAAAACUCACCAAAUUAGCAACUUGAUGUUUAAAAUCACGCAACAGUUUUAUGGAAACUUGACUUUUUUCGUGUAAUUUAGCGCCACAAAACGCUCAUGAUGUGAAAAGGCUAGCUGCGAGCACCGCUUGGACACAAUUCCCAUCAGAUCUCAGUCUUGGUUUUACAAAAAAAGGCUUGCAGUUCUUGAAGAAUCACCGUAAGGACGUCUCGUGUUCCUUUUGACAUUCAGACAGACAAAAUCAACUCUUGCUUCAGAGGUAAGGAUGGAGAACAGGUGGGGCGAGAAACCGCUGGAAGUUAAUGAGGUUAGUUAACGUCUCCUCCUGUUCCCAUCAUGAGUGGGGUUGUAAUGCCUCAUUUCCACUGUUUGGUGCGACUCGACUCACUCAAAACUGACCCCUAGUUUUCAUUUUCCAAUCUGCAAGGUGAGCAAACCUGAAGCCAGACAGUGAAAAGUGGCGUGAAGACUAUGAUUAUUGGGCCGAUAUUUGGAGUUUGGACUGAUUAUCUGUAUCUCUUUAUUAUACAACAGAAUUAACUAUGGACUAGUUAACAGUCUGAUUAACUAUGAAUUACCUGUAUCGGCCCUGGACUCUUAAUAUUAAGUCAGAGGAAAUCACCCCAGCACUGAUAUUUUAACUGCAGCUUAGCUUUUUCACCUAAUGCAGAAUAUCUAGUUUUGAUGCUGAGUUAAGAAUCAAGUCCUGUUAGUAAGCAGGUAGCAUCUGCAGAGGGAAUUAAUACAAAAGGCACUGAAACCAGCAGCCCUGAGUGAGUUGAAUCACUGCAACUCUGUGGAAAAGAGGCACUAGAAAACCAGAAGAGAGAGAGAGAGAGAGAGAGAGAGAGAGAGAGAGAGAGCAGGAGGACUCUGUGUCGGAUACAAAAGGACAAAAAAAGAACCGGGUCGAGAUGAUAACAGAGAAGGAAUCACUGUGAGAGGGUCUGAAAGAAAGAAUGAAGACUCAGUCAGCACUUUCUUUUCAUACUGGGCCUGGUUUUAUAUCUACAGGAGCAGCGUCCUGUUGAGCCCAAUCGUUUCCUCGAACUCCAAGACAUCAAUCACGUCAAUGUUUUUGUUUAGCUGUAUACCAGUAUGUCUCCUCCCCUUUCUCCCCACCCGUAGCCCCCUUCCCAGUUCUUUAGUUUCCUUUUAGCUAAUCCCAUUUCCCGCUCUUCUCCUCUCUCCUUCGUUCAACCUCUCUCCUCACCCUCUCCGCUCAUCCCCUAGUAUCACCACCAUCAUCAUCAUCGUCGUCAUACCCGGAGGAGUUUUACAGUGUCGCUGACAUUUUUCCAGCCUCUCUGGAUAAAAAUAAGUUCUGCUGUUUUGUUUGGUCCUUCGCCAAAGCUUUUGUCUCGGUAACAGGCUUUUGUCUCGGCAACAGCAGCCUGUUUUCUGUCAUUGUCAAAGCGAACAUGCUACUCCGAAAAGAAAUGAAGAAAAAAAAAAGAAAAGAGGGAGGGGUGGGGGUGGGGGGGGGCAGGGUGUGGGUGAUGGAGGAGACAAACAAAAUGAGGAGAAGAUGCUUUGUAAUGCUUUUUUCUGCACUGCUGUUCCCACGCUAACAAAACCUGCAUGUGGGCCUGUACCUGUGUGUGUGUCUGUGUGUGAGUGUGUGUGUGUGUGCGUGCAGAGCUGGCGUGCAUGACCGCCCCGCUCCCCCCUCUAUGAGGCAACAUUUGCGGGAAGCAGCGAUGGAAAUGUGUGCGCUACCACAACACAAUAGCACACACACACACACUCACACACAGACAAACAAAUACUCCAUUUCUCUGCUCUGGGUCUCUUUUUUGGACUUUGUCUUUCCUCCCUAACUCCUCCAUCACUCCCUCCUUUCCUCCCUCCCUGCCUCCCCCCACGUCUUGUUUUUCUAAGCCGUCUUUCUUUCUGUCCAGUGAUCCACAGUGUUGUAAAUGUCAGCCUGACCGAGGAGGAGACGUUUCUUCUGAAGCACGUUUAGAGGGACUCCUGUGGGGUACUGAUCGUGUCCUCGCUGUCACUGUUAAUAUCUACCAAUCGGGUUAAUCUUCUACGAGGCUCUGCUCUGCGUCAGUCAUAGGAAACGUCGACCCUUGACCUCUCACUUUGUCUGCCACUCGCAUUAGUGGUCAGUUUCAGGAGGCAGGACAGACCGGGAAACCAACUCCAGACCCCGUGUCAGGAGGGGACUCUGGGUGGCCGGUGCCUGUCGUUUCACACUGGAAAUCUGACCUCGCGCUAGUAUCUAACACCAACGCUAGUCAGUAUCUCAUAG